RNAcentral lists this transfer RNA (77 nucleotides) under Mycoplasmopsis synoviae GX11-T. Its description in RNAcentral is "tRNA-Met". It matches the Rfam family "tRNA". From Rfam's summary of the family: Transfer RNA (tRNA) molecules are approximately 80 nucleotides in length. Their secondary structure includes four short double-helical elements and three loops (D, anti-codon, and T loops). Lineage: Bacteria; Bacillati; Mycoplasmatota; Mycoplasmoidales; Metamycoplasmataceae. The record is from RNAcentral.
CGCGGAGUGGAGAAGUUUGAUAUCUCGCAGGGCUCAUAACCCUGAGGUCGUUGGUUCAAGUCCAACCUCCGCCACCU